RNAcentral lists this unclassified non-coding RNA (637 nucleotides) under Nilaparvata lugens (brown planthopper). RNAcentral describes it as "cUGBP Elav-like family member 4, transcript variant X1". Lineage: Eukaryota; Metazoa; Arthropoda; Insecta; Hemiptera; Delphacidae. The record is from RNAcentral.
GCGCGUUGAAAGAGCUGCAACCAGCUUAACCGGACGUGACUCUCCCUCCGUCACGUUUUCACAAAUCACUUUACCUUCCCGUGUAAAUUUCGCGAUAACGCGUGUUUAAUGCUUUAUCAUCAUCUGUUCACUCAUCUUCCAAUCAUCCACUUAUUGUUUAGACGUGAACGCGAUAAAACAUCCUCAGUUUUCAAAAAUAAUUUUCCUGUUCGUCUUUCUCUCCUCCGCAAAGGUGAUUGAUUGAAAACAAAACAAAUUUCACAACACAGCGGCAGCGGAUUGUUGAAAACCAAGUGUGCUUGUUAACAACUACUAAAGGAAACUGUUGCACAGAAACAUCAUUAGCUUUAUUGUUGGUCGAUCCUAGAUAGCCUUAGUAAGCUAGUUUAUAGUUCGGAUUUUUUAUGAAAAUAGUUGUGACAUUUGUAUAAUAAUGGUCGUAGAGUUUACGGGUUUUGAAGAAAGUUGUGAUUUACCAGUCAUCUUUCAGCGUACCACAUAAGGAAAAUCGUCAAUUCUUAGAAAAAGUUCAACGGCCUUCCUGACCAAGUGCUUUAUUAGCGAGUGCCUGUGCGUGUGUGUUUGUGAUAGUAGAUCUGCUAUUAGUGUAGUAGUAUUACUUAUUCAAAAGAAAGCA